RNAcentral lists this ribosomal RNA (377 nucleotides) under uncultured bacterium. RNAcentral describes it as "bacterial SSU rRNA". It matches the Rfam family "Bacterial small subunit ribosomal RNA", at positions 521 to 896 of the family's 1533-position model. The record is from RNAcentral.
UAAGACAGAGGUGCCAAGCGUUAGGCGGAAUCACUGGGCUUAAAGCGUGUGUAGGCGGACGGCUAAGUACCUUGUGAAAUCCCACGGCUCAACCGUGGAACUGCUGGGUAUACUGGUCGUCUUGAGCCACUUAGGGGCUAGCGGAACAAACGGUGGAGCGGUGAAAUGCGUAGAUAUCGUUUGGAACGCCAAUGGUGAAAACAGCUAGCUGGGAGUGUGCUGACGCUGAGACACGAAAGCCAGGGGAGCGAACGGGAUUAGAUACCCCGGUAGUCCUGGCCGUAAACGAUGUCGACUAGAUCGUGGUGCCUCUGACGGUAUCACGGUCGAAGCAAAAGUGCUAAGUCGACCGCCUGGGAAGUACGGUCGCAAGGCUA